This is an RNA transcript of Cryptomeria japonica (Japanese cedar), 2644 nucleotides long. It is a transcript of the gene named vacuolar protein sorting-associated protein 35A, with no coding region annotated. Lineage: Eukaryota; Viridiplantae; Streptophyta; Pinopsida; Cupressales; Cupressaceae. The transcript has 5 exons. The record is from RefSeq and is a predicted model, not a curated record.
CUGGCAAUGCAUUCGCCUUAUAACUUUUGGAAGCCCACUUGUUUUUUUGAAUCGUUUCAUUGGUUUUGAUAUUACAUUCAUUAUGAUUUACUCAUUUCUCGAGAUUCUUUUAUUGUGGUACAAGGAGUUCAGGUAUUCCAUUCUUUGGACUGGUUUUUCUGAUAUUGGCACAAAGAGUGUCACCAUUUGCGAAUGCCUUAAACUCAGCACAUAUUUCUGAGACUAAACACACAAGUUAUGUUUUCAAUUGCAACCCAUGUGUAUGCUGGAUACAAAUUAGCGCUCGGCAAACGACACAAUGAUCAUGAGGAGUUUUCUCGUUCCACGUAGUGCAGCACCCAACAUCCAGAGACUGAAAGGUCUGGUAAUGUGGCAAGGUCAUGCUUGCCAUUGAUCUCUUCCCAUGUUGCGUGGUGAUGUCUUCUCAUGGUUGCAUGAUGUAAUAAUCAAGGUAUAUUAAGGGAGAUUCAGACUACAAUGUCCAACACAAAUAAUUCAAUGCCAUGUGGUCUCCUCCAUGUUUCUUUGGAAGGAAUUUGGGAUUUUUUUAGUCCCUUUUGAGUACAUAAUUUUCUUUUUUAAUCUAAUUUCCCAUCAAUUUCAGAUUAGGGCACGGGUUACCAUCAGAUCAUGUUGGCAUAUGCCUCCCAAAUCAUUACUAUUUAUAUAGGUUGAAUUGCAUUUCAUGUUUGCUGAACAAUUUUGACCGAGGAAAACCUGACCAUUGAUCGAGUAUGGAAUACCAAUGCCGUAUGGCGUAGGAAUGCGCUAUGCAGGGGAGGGUGACCGUGCCAUUGGGGAGGAAUGACGUCCCCUUCUUUUGCAGGAAAAGGGCAGGGUAAAAACGUGAACAAGCAUCCCCAUAAAAUUUGAGCAAGUAUUUUUAGAGGCAGGUUAAAAUGUGAGCAAGGAAAAGUGCAGGGUAAAAUUGUGAGCAAGGAUCCCUAUAAAAUGUGAGCAAGUAUUCUUAGAGGCAGGUUAAAAUGUGAGCAAGGAAAAGGGCAGGAUAAAAUGUGAUUUUCGAGCAUUUUUAGAGGCAUACAAACCUCAGAAUGUGAGCAACUGGGGUGGAGGCGAUUUUGGGGCGCUUGAAGGCAGGAAAUAAUACAUGUUCGCAGAGAAAAAUGCAGAGGAGGGUUCAAUCAUUCCUGUCUACUUAUUGGAUUUUGCCACCUUCUGAAGCAUGGUCCAGUCAUUAUUUACUCUACAAAGCAACUCACAUGUACCUUACAGUUCAAAAAUUGUCACUCAUUUUGGGGACCGAUUCUCACAAUGGUAGGGAGUAAAAGCAGCAGGGGAGAGCUUAAAGAACAUAAGGAGCAGCAAACAAGCUACAAAACCAGGCUUCAAAUAAUCUCUGUGAUGCCCUAAACUAUUCGGCUCAGAUGCUUACAGAGUUUGGAACUUCCAGGAUCUCCCUGCACAAGUAUCCUUUUGACUUUCUUUGGUUGCUUUGAUGAGAUGGGAAAAGAGGAGAUUUUCUUCAUAGAGGAGACAAGACGGGGAUGCACUGUUAUUGAUCUUGAUGAACUCGUACAACAUUCUGGAAAUAUUUUGCCUAGAUUGUAAGUUUUCUUGUACUGGUUACUUAUGUUUGACAUUUUUUAUUAUUAUCAAUGUAAGUUGUCAAAAGAUUUAUCAUGCCUCUAAUAUUUAUAAUAAAGGAUUUAAAUUUACCGAUCUCAUUCUAAAAAUAAACUCAUAUGCUUGUAUUCUUUUUAGGACUGCUGUCCCAUUGUAUGAUUUAUGUAAGACACAUGCUGACAACUAAUGAUUAUAUAUAAUUAGUCUGAAAAACUUAUUAAUUCUGUUGUCCAAAAUGUUUGGUAUGGCAAGAUCCUGUUAGGCUUGGCCAACUUGAAAACAUCAAAGAGAAACGUGCAUGUGGUUGAUGGAAAACAAAGCAGUCUUUUUUUGGCACUAUGUUAAUGGCUUUGCAAUUUAAUUUAUGUGAAAUGGAAAAUUGAUCUAAAAUGGUAAUCUUAUUUAAAGUUAUCCUUUUUAAGUCAAAUUUCAUUUUAUUUAUUCUUGGUGCCAAUUCUGAUUCAACUCUAAGAUGACUUAGCUUAUCAGUCUAGUGGGUUUCAAGUCUGGCUACUAAGAAAGGGGUCCCCUGGUAGGGGGGAACCAUUGCUGGAAUCAAUGCUAUUCUUGUCCCUCAGGUAGGGUAGCAGUGGUGGGCUCAAAAUUUUAAGCAUCUGCUUGAAAUAUUUUAGAAAGCAAAUUGUAUUGCUGGUCAUUGCUGUAGAUUCUCAUAAUGGUGAAGACCUCAUAUAAUGGGACCACUUUCCACCAAAAUGCUCCAACAUUGCCUCAGCAGUGUCAGUGGGGUUGAUAGUACUUGGAAUAAAGCUGAUUAGAUCAUCCUGCCUUUAUUUCAUCUACGUCAGCAGAUUUAUGGCUAUUUUACACAGUUGUCGUUGAUCUAGCAAAUUGGCCUGUUUAUAUUGGGAAAUCAGGCUACCCUCUGAGGUUAUAGUGUCUUUAUAACUUACACUCGAUGCUUCCACGGUUCCACCUGGUUACCAAUGAAGGAUAAUGAACAUUAACGAUGUAUUUAGUUAUUUGCUUAUGGGUUGUUGGAACUAGUUGGAAACUUUCAGUUAUAUUGUUGAAUCUAUAUAUACACAGAAAUGUAUCAUGA